RNAcentral lists this ribosomal RNA (253 nucleotides) under uncultured bacterium. Its description in RNAcentral is "partial 16S ribosomal RNA". It matches the Rfam family "Bacterial small subunit ribosomal RNA", at positions 524 to 776 of the family's 1533-position model. The record is from RNAcentral.
UACGUAGGGGGCAAGCGUUGUCCGGAGUUACUGGGCGUAAAGCGCACGCAGGCGGUCUCUUAAGUUUGGAGUGACAGUUGGUGGCUUAACUGCCAAAGUGCUUCGAAAACUGAGAGACUUGAGGGCUUCAGAGGGGCACGGAAUUCCGGGUGGAGUGGUGAAAUGCGUAGAGAUCCGGAGGAACACCAAAGGCGAAGGCAGUGUCCUGGGGAGUACCUGACGCUCAGGUGCGAAAGCCAGGGGAGCGAACGGG